UUAGUUGCCUUUUAAUUUUUUGUUGUUAUUUGACUUGUCAUCCUCUAAUUACUUUAUUGUAUGCUGUACAAAGGUUGCUGGAAAUGAAAACCCUUCAACUCUUAUUUGCUUUGUAUCAAAGAUUACCAAUGCAGGACAGAUUACAUUGAAGUUACAUGUGACUGAACUUGGUGCCCAACCAGGUUUGCUCCUAGCAUUGACCUGAAUUUCAGCUUCAUGUUGUUCCAUUGUUUCACUCCACAUGUUCUUGCCCCUCUAGAAAUAGAGAUGACAUUAAUAGUUCUCUAUUGUAGCAGAUCAGUGUUGGUUGUCUUUACCUGCAGCAGAAAGAAAUCCAUGGUUAUAUCGGCUCUUGUGAGUUGAUUGUUGACUCGGAUGGUGUUUUGGAUUGGUAGUCCAUUAUAGUUUUAGCCUUGUCAUUGGUGGAAGACAUGGGAUCCACCCAAUAAGUGAUAGGACCCUCUAUUUUUCUUGUAGGCGCUCUAUUUUAGCCUCGAAUAAGAAGCUAAAAAAGGUGAGCUCUA
This is a long non-coding RNA of Magnolia sinica, 524 nucleotides long. RefSeq lists it as uncharacterized. The transcript has 2 exons. NCBI's taxonomy places the organism in Eukaryota, Viridiplantae, Streptophyta, Magnoliopsida, Magnoliales, Magnoliaceae. The record is from RefSeq and is a predicted model, not a curated record.